UGGGGAAUAUUGCACAAUGGGCGCAAGCCUGAUGCAGCCAUGCCGCGUGUAUGAAGAAGGCCUUCGGGUUGUAAAGUACUUUCAGCGAGGAGGAAGGCGUUGUGGUUAAUAACCGCAACGAUUGACGUUACUCGCAGAAGAAGCACCGGCUAACUCCGUGCCAGCAGCCGCGGUAAUACGGAGGGUGCAAGCGUUAAUCGGAAUUACUGGGCGUAAAGCGCACGCAGGCGGUCUGGCAAGUCGGAUGGGAAAUCCCCGGGCUCAACCUGGGAACUGCAUCCGAAACUGGCAGGCUAGAGUCUUGUAGAGGGGGGUAGAAUUCCAGGUGUAGCGGUGAAAUGCGUAGAGAUCUGGAGGAAUACCGGUGGCGAAGGCGGCCCCCUGGACAAAGACUGACGCUCAGGUGCGAAAGCGUGGGGAGCAAACA
This 427-nucleotide ribosomal RNA is filed under the name uncultured bacterium. Its description in RNAcentral is "partial 16S ribosomal RNA". It matches the Rfam family "Bacterial small subunit ribosomal RNA", at positions 355 to 774 of the family's 1533-position model. The record is from RNAcentral.